CUGCUUUGAGGAAACACAGAAUAAACACUUCAUGUUA
Non-coding RNA from Cricetulus griseus (Chinese hamster), 37 nucleotides. The record is from Rfam. Lineage: Eukaryota; Metazoa; Chordata; Mammalia; Rodentia; Cricetidae.